This 399-nucleotide signal recognition particle RNA is filed under the name Helianthus annuus (common sunflower). RNAcentral's name for it is "Plant signal recognition particle RNA". It matches the Rfam family "Plant signal recognition particle RNA". The record is from RNAcentral. Lineage: Eukaryota; Viridiplantae; Streptophyta; Magnoliopsida; Asterales; Asteraceae.
GCCGAGCUUGGUAGCGUGAGCUUGUAACUCAAGUGAAGGCAUUAAAGUGGGAUGGACUUUGAAUGAGCUCAGAUUGGUUGGGUCAAGUGUCUGCAAUAUCUGGCCUCCCCGUUCCAAGUUCCGACUGGAAACAAGUGGUCCAAGUGGAGGCUUGGCCCCCUUGGUUCCUAGAGGAGAGGGCACUUGCCGGUUCGAGUUAGAUAAAGGCAUCGCCCGUUUCAAAUGAAGCAAGUGUUUCGUUUCAAGCGAAAAAGCUUGGGUCCCUUGAUUCAUAGCCUGGGGUCCCUUGAUUCAUAGCUGGCUUCACAGGGCUGCGACUACCUCUUGGUCUGAACAGUACAGGCCGGUGCAUCCUUGGCUCGAAUAAAGCUUGGCUCAUUCUAAUGGACUCCCACUUUU